RNAcentral lists this ribosomal RNA (468 nucleotides) under uncultured bacterium. RNAcentral describes it as "partial 16S ribosomal RNA". It matches the Rfam family "Bacterial small subunit ribosomal RNA", at positions 28 to 507 of the family's 1533-position model. The record is from RNAcentral.
GACGAACGCUGGCGGCGUGCUUAACACAUGCAAGUCGAACGGAAAGGCCCUGCUUUUGUGGGGUGCUCGAGUGGCGAACGGGUGAGUAACACGUGAGUAACCUGCCCUUGACUUUGGGAUAACUUCAGGAAACUGGGGCUAAUACCGGAUAGGAGCUCCUGCUGCAUGGUGGGGGUUGGAAAGUUUCGGCGGUUGGGGAUGGACUCGCGGCUUAUCAGCUUGUUGGUGGGGUAGUGGCUUACCAAGGCUUUGACGGGUAGCCGGCCUGAGCGGGUGACCGGCCCAACUAGGACGGGGCUACGACCCAGACUCCAACGGGAGGCGAGGGUGCGGUGUAUAGCACAAUGGGCGGAAGGCUGGUGCGGCAACGCCGCGUGGGGUAAGAGGGGCUGCGCUUUGUAUUCCACUUUCGCCUUUGCCGAGGCGUGAGUGACGGUAAUGGGUGAAGAAGCACCGGCUAACUACGUG